UGCAAGUCGAGCGGACAGAAGGGAGCUUGCUCCCGGAUGUUAGCGGCGGACGGGUGAGUAACACGUGGGUAACCUGCCUGUAAGACUGGGAUAACUCCGGGAAACCGGAGCUAAUACCGGAUAGUUCCUUGAACCGCAGGGUUCAAGGAUGAAAGACGGUUUCGGCUGUCACUUACAGAUGGACCCGCGGCGCAUUAGCUAGUUGGUGAGGUAACGGCUCACCAAGGCGACGAUGCGUAGCCGACCUGAGAGGGUGAUCGGCCACACUGGGACUGAGACACGGCCCAGACUCCUACGGGAGGCAGCAGUAGGGAAUCUUCCGCAAUGGACGAAAGUCUGACGGACCAACGCCGCGUGAGUGAUGAAGGUUUUCGGAUCGUAAAGCUCUGUUGUUAGGGAAGAACAAGUGCAGAGUAACUGCUUGCACCUUGACGGUACCUAACCAGAAAGCCACGGCUAAUACGUGCCACAGCCGCGGUAAACGUAGGUGGCAGCGUUGUCCGGAUUAUUGGGCGUAAGGGCUCGCAGGCGGUUUCUUAGUCUGAUGUGAAGCCCCGGCUCACCGGGGAGGGUCAUUGGAACUGGGAACUUGAGUGCAAAGAGGAAGUGGAUUCCCGUGUACGGUGAAUGCGUAGAGAGUGGAGGACACCGUGGCAACGCACUCUUGGUCUGAACUGACCAGGAGCAAAGCGUGGGAGCGAAAGGAUUAAUACCUGGUAUCCCGCCGUAACGAUAAUGCUAGUGUUAGGGGUUCCCCCCUUAUGCUCAGCUACGCUUAACACUCGCCGGGGAUACGUCCAACUGAACUCAAGAAUGACGGGGCCCCACAGCGUGGAGCUGUGUUUAUUCAAGCACGCGAGACCUACCAGUCUGACUCCCCGACACCUAAAAUAGGCUUCCUUCGGGACAAUGACAGUGUGCAGGUGUCUCACUCUGUCUGAAAGUUGGUUAAUCCCCACCACCCACCCUGAUUUAUUGC
RNAcentral lists this ribosomal RNA (979 nucleotides) under uncultured bacterium. RNAcentral describes it as "bacterial SSU rRNA". The stretch from base 1 to 787 matches the Rfam family "Bacterial small subunit ribosomal RNA", at positions 56 to 873 of the family's 1533-position model. The record is from RNAcentral.